This 67-nucleotide transfer RNA is filed under the name Cardisoma armatum. Its description in RNAcentral is "tRNA-His". It matches the Rfam family "tRNA". From Rfam's summary of the family: Transfer RNA (tRNA) molecules are approximately 80 nucleotides in length. Lineage: Eukaryota; Metazoa; Arthropoda; Malacostraca; Decapoda; Gecarcinidae. The record is from RNAcentral.
ACCUAAAUAGUUUAAGAUAAAAAAUGUUAGCUUGUGGCGCUCAAGAUGUAAGUGUUUACUUUAGGUA